AAGUCGUAACAAGGUUUCCGUAGGUGAACCUGCGGAAGGAUCAUUACAGAGCUCAUGCCCUCCGGGGUAGAUCUCCCACCCUUGCCUAUUAUACCAUUUGUUGCCUCGGCGGGCCGUUCGUCUCGGCCACCGGCUCGCGCUGGUGCGUGCCCGCCGCAGGACCCCCCAACUCUGAAUUAUCUAGCGUCGUCCGAGUACUAUACAAUAGUUAAAACUUUCAACAACGGAUCUCUUGGUUCUG
RNAcentral lists this unclassified non-coding RNA (241 nucleotides) under Duebenia sp. Its description in RNAcentral is "partial contains small subunit ribosomal RNA, internal transcribed spacer 1, and 5.8S ribosomal RNA". The stretch from base 1 to 46 matches the Rfam family "Eukaryotic small subunit ribosomal RNA", at positions 1786 to 1831 of the family's 1831-position model. Lineage: Eukaryota; Fungi; Ascomycota; Leotiomycetes; Helotiales; Calloriaceae. The record is from RNAcentral.